This 480-nucleotide ribosomal RNA is filed under the name uncultured bacterium. Its description in RNAcentral is "partial 16S ribosomal RNA". It matches the Rfam family "Bacterial small subunit ribosomal RNA", at positions 28 to 523 of the family's 1533-position model. The record is from RNAcentral.
GACAAACGCUGGCGGCGUGCCUAAUACAUGCAAGUCGAACGACGAAAGCCUUCGGGCAAGUAAGAGUGGCGCACGGGCGAGGAACACGUAGAUAAUCUGCCCUUCAGUGGGGAAUAACUCUCCGAAAGGAGUGCUAAUACCGCAUAAAACCACAAGCUCUGCGGAGCAAGGGGUUAAAGGAUUUAUUCGCUGAAGGAUGAGUCUGCGUCCGAUUAGCUAGUUGGUGAGGUAAUGGCUUACCAAGGCAAUGAUCGGUAGAUGGUCUGAGAGGAUGAUCAUCCGCACUGGAACUGAGACACGGUCCAGAAUCCUACGGGAGGCAGAAGUAGGGAAUAUUGCACAAUGGGGGAAACCCUGAUGCAGCAACGCCGCGUGAGUGAUGAAGGCUCUAGGGUCGUAAAGCUCUGUCGUAUGGGAAGAAAAAAAUGACGGUACCAUACAAGAAAGGACCGGCCAACUUCGUGCCAGCCGCCGCCGUAA